GCCAAGUGUGACCCACCGGAACCCAGAAGCCGGGUUCUGACUCCACCAUCGGAGGACGUGGAGGAUGCCGGGGCACAGGUGCGCCGCUGUGCAGGAGGAAGAUGUGGAACACAGACCAGAGAGCUCGCUCAGAGCGGGACCAUCUUUAAGUGAGUGAGCGCCGCGCAGUGAAGUCAUGGUCUGAAUGCGCAUUUGCAGGUGGAUAAAACCCAGAGAGGGCCUGGAGGUGCCCUGCGGCCGCGCUGCUUUCGGACACAUUUAGGGAGCUUUUGCUGGACUGAGAGGGGAGACUCUAGUGGGCUCCCCAGGCCCACUGCACCCUGGCUCUUCUCAGCAUUGUCACCCCUUCCUGUCAAUAACCUCGUCCCUGGACAGCUGUGCAACUGUGGUUUCAUCCUGGGACAACCACCUGCCCAAUUUCAACCAAGGGGAUGAAAACCGUUACAAGACUCCCCAAAGCUCCCUCACAUGGGAUAAAAGGCUGAGAAAUGAGGAAGGGCUUGUUGGGAUCCAGGGGCUGGUCCCCAAGGGGAGGGGGAGGGGACCAUCUGCUUGUCUCCAGUCGGGGCUGUGAGGAGCUGCUGGAAGAGUUUAACCUGUGAUCCCGCAGUUUGAGAGACAUAGGGGCUGGUCUCAGAGUCAAGCCUGAAAAAUCAGAGUGAGUGACAGGCUGGCUGGAGCCCAAGUGGGUCACGGCGAAGGAUGCCAGCAAGGUUUGCCACAGACCAGACGGUGGCCAGACAGGAGCCUGGGGCCAGAGGUGCUUUCGGCUCCUGUGGGAGGAGGACAGCACUGAGGGGCUGCAGGCGAGGCUGGCUGCCCAGGGCCUCCUUGGUAAGCAGCCCAGGUGGACAGAGCCACAUCCUCCCUCCUUCAGGGUCUGCAGGCCAAAGGGGACAGCAAAGCACCUGGGGGAUGGGAGGCGAAUGUCCUCAGAAGUCAUGGAAACACCUGUCUGAGGAAGAGGCAGCUUCCCACCUCUGCCAGUGCCCCUCACACCACAGGACCCAUCUGGAAAAACCCCACCCUGCCGUUCCUUCCUCUUUCCUGGUUCACCCUGGGAGGGUCAGAAACUGCACUGGCAAGAAGGGGCCUGAAGAAGAGUGGAGGAGCCCACCACGCCCCCUCCUGGGCUGCAGCAGACUGAGCCGUGGGGGUGGGAGGGAGCAGGGUAGACGGGACUGAACAGGGGAUCCAGUCUCCAUGACCUAGGAACACCUGACAGCUGGCCCUCCUCUGCAUCCAGGAUAAGAACCAGCCCCAAGAGUGAGUUAAAGGGACAGACGGAAAUUCAAAUGCAGCUGCUUUCGGACUGCUUUGCACAAGUCCCCCUGAACAUCACAGGCUGUUGGAAGGGCCAGGCUGGUAGGAAAAGUGGAAGCAACUUUCCUCUUUCCCCCUCCUGCCUCUUCAAAUGCCAAGCAGAGUCCCUCCCGCCCACUCCUGGGUGACGUCUCAGCUUAUCUGCUCCCAGCAGCCCUGUCCUACAGAGAGAGCGGGAGCCAGCUGUGCAGACCUGAGUGUCAACAUUCUGGGAGCCACAGGAGAAAAAGCAGAACGGAAAGGAGAGGCCCCUCCAGCCACCUGUCCUGCUCUGAGAUUUCCCAGGCACAAAUCUGGA
Molecule: long non-coding RNA, 1621 nt
Organism: Equus asinus (donkey)
Lineage: Eukaryota; Metazoa; Chordata; Mammalia; Perissodactyla; Equidae
Source: Ensembl